This 252-nucleotide ribosomal RNA is filed under the name uncultured bacterium. RNAcentral's name for it is "partial 16S ribosomal RNA". It matches the Rfam family "Bacterial small subunit ribosomal RNA", at positions 524 to 775 of the family's 1533-position model. The record is from RNAcentral.
UACGAAGGGGGCUAGCGUUGUUCGGAAUUACUGGGCGUAAAGCGCACGUAGGCGGAUAUUUAAGUCAGGGGUGAAAUCCCAGAGCUCAACUCUGGAACUGCCUUUGAUACUGGGUGUCUUGAGUAUGGAAGAGGUAAGUGGAAUUGCGAGUGUAGAGGUGAAAUUCGUAGAUAUUCGCAAGAACACCAGUGGCGAAGGCGGCUCACUGGCCCGAUACUGACGCUGAGGCACGAAAGCGUGGGGAGCAACAGG